UACGUAGGGGGCAAGCGUUGUCCGGAAUCAUUGGGCGUAAAGCGCGUGUAGGCGGCCAGAAAAGUCCGCUGUGAAAACUCGAGGCUCAACUUCGAGCUGUCGGUGGAAACUUUCUGGCUAGAGUCCGGAAGAGGAGAAUGGAAUUCCUGGUGUAGCGGUGAAAUGCGCAGAUAUCAGGAAGAACACCCGUGGCGAAGGCGGUUCUCUGGGACGGUACUGACGCUGAGACGCGAAAGCGUGGGGAGCGAACGGG
This 253-nucleotide ribosomal RNA is filed under the name uncultured bacterium. Its description in RNAcentral is "partial 16S ribosomal RNA". It matches the Rfam family "Bacterial small subunit ribosomal RNA", at positions 524 to 776 of the family's 1533-position model. The record is from RNAcentral.